CCAAUCCAGUCUGGGUGGACCGGAAGACCAGGGCCAUCAUCCAAUCCAAUCUGUGUGGACGGGAAGACCGGGCUGUCAUCCAAUCCAGUGGCCAGCUUUGCAGCCCGCCUCGGCUCACAGGGUUCCUACGUAAGCUUUUCUAGCCAGGGUGGGUGUUUCAGAGUCUGAGUUUGGGAAUGAGAAACUAGUGACUCCAGAAUAGAAACACCCUCUUCAAGUGGGUUAAACUCCAGCCCUGACAUUUAAUUAGCUUCUUUUUCAGCUCCCACACUUGAAGCGUACCUGUUAUUUCUUUUCUUUUACUCACAAUACCCUGUAAGCCAGGCGCGUUUGCCUGAGCUCCGGAACCUCUCAUCAGAAGUCAAUCACUUUGGAAACGUGAUAAACAGUUCUGCAAGCCUUCUAAGAGGAUGGUGGCAGAUUGGGGCUCAGGAUGUGAGGGGCUUCCCCAGAUGAUAGUGAAUCGAGGGAACAUGCAUAAGCUCCCACCCUUUGAUUUAUCCACCCUGUCCACAUAAUCUUUGAUUAGGUCACUACUUCCCCAAGUGAGUUCAGGCAUCGGUCUAAUGGGCCCCUGGACCAUUUGCUUCUGGAACACAGCAAAGACAGCAUAAAUGACCAGUUGAUGGCAGCCUUGCGGCCCUGCCUGCUUGGGUGGUGAGAAGUUACCAGGACUACUGGGUGGGGGUAGGGCUAGGGGGAGGGUCAUUCAUGAUCUCACAAGUGUUAAAGGUGGGGGCAGUGAGGGUGUGGGGGGGGGCAGAGAUGGAGUACAAUGAAAGAGAAUGCAAAAUCCUGGCUUAGGACUAGGCUGGGAAGGUUAUGGUAGAGACAGUAGGGUAGGCAGCAGCGGGUGUGGGUGGUUGUGGGCAGUGUCCAGGCAGAGGAUGCUGUAUAUGCUAAUGUCCUGCUGCCACAGAAGCUUGGAGCCUACCAUCAAUAGGAUGGUGUUUCUGACAUCCAUCUCUUGGUGCCACCAUCCUGCUUGGCUCUUCCCCAGCCUGUUGGCCUCAUCCCCCAAUUCCUUUUCGUGAUCUUCACUCACUUAUCCAGAAACAGCUGGUGUCCCCAUGGGCCCAUGGUGUCAGGUCUUCCUUACCAUAACUCUAGUCCUUCCCACAUUUUCAACCAGUUUCCUUUCUGAAAGCCUCAAUUUUACCACACUGGGUGCUCCCUGUCUUCACAGUAUGCUCUGGAAUUUUCUGUCUCUGAAUCCAGGUUCUUUCCUGGGAUUGCCCCCCCUUCUGCUUCAGUUCCCCUUAAUUUGAGAUCACUGACCUCUCCUACUCUGCCCUGAGUCAUCCUGUCAUUUUGGUGCGGCUAUGUUUGCUUUUGUUAUAUGGGGCUGAGAACCAGGCCAGAGAGGUUGGUGCGUGGGGAGUCGGGGGGAGACACAGGACUGGAAGAAAGCAUCAGAUGUGAGGGAGGAUGUAUUGGGGGUUCUGAGAUACUUAGGAUCCAGUGCUAAUGCUGCCAUUUAGUGGUUGUCCAUUCUUAAACAUAUUGUUCAUGUUAUUGAAGUCUUUUGUGGUAUUGGAGUUUGAACCUAAGGCAUUGCAUAUGUUGGGCAAACACUUUCUGCUGAGCUAUAUCUCUAGCUCUCGUCACUUCCUGAGUUUGAGACAUAGUCUCACGAGGUUGUCCAUGGUGGCCUCUCACUCACUCUUUAUCCCAGGUAGUCUUUGAGCUUAUAAUCCUCAUGUCUUGGCCUCUGUAAUAGCUGGGAUUUCAGGCCUGCAUUUGUGGGUCAGCUUGAACCUUUUCAGUUCUAGUCUUUAUGUGACCAUAAGAGACCCUCUAGGGUGCCCUGUAAAGGUCAGUGAUAUUAAUGAGCUCAGCAAAACUCAUAUAAAUGAGGACAUACAUGAGCAUAGUGAUUGUAUGUUUUAGGAACCACCGAACUAGAGAUGGCUUUCUUGAAUAAGCUUUAUUUGAUUCUUUUCAUUACUCUGGGGAGCAGAUUUAGACUCAAACAGCAGGAGACCUGGCAUUCAAAUGCUCGCCUGUCCCUUUAUCCUCUGCUGAGAUGGUGAGGCUUAGUAGAGUGUCUUUAAACUUCUUCUGAAGGUGAGGCCAAUGGGUUGACCCACUCCUAGACCCUGGGCUAGCACAGUCUCCUGGUGAAGGGGCAGAGAGCCAUGGCUGCCUCCCACACCUAACCUCCUUAGACCUACUGGGUUUCUUUCAUUACAAACCUGGGCAAUAUUGUAGUUAGGAGAUCACUCCUCACUAACAUCUGAGAUUCAGAAAUUAUGCUUGCUGUUUGAUGCUCUGGAGUCACAUGAGCCCACAUACAGAUUCCACACAGGUGAUUUGUUAGCUUGAAACAGAGCAAAUGGCUGAAUCUUCAAGUCACGGUUUUCUCAGCAAAAUUGGGACACAGAUGUUCAGUGAGUACAAUAAAACUCUGAGGCUUUUACCUGGCUCUCCAAAGUACUCCUUCAUCCACUCAGUACUGCAGGAGCUGGGGAAUGGACAUCAAGUCUUGCCCUGUAUUCUAGAGGAAGGAGGAGAAGGAAGCAGCUAUGAAAUAAAGUACAUCAGGAAAAGGGCGAGCUUGAGAUGCUGGCAGGCUGGGAAUGUACACGACAGCCAGUGGGGAAUGCGUACAUACAUCCAAUGAGAGAUGACGUUUGGACCAGGUGGCCUAGCUGUGGACUGGGGUAGAGUGGUUGGAGUCUGCAUGUAUUUGGAAGGUAAAAGCUACAGGGUCUCACAACAAGUUGGAUGUGGAGAGUGAGAGAAAGAAGUUAGAGAUGAUAUCAAAGGUUGGAGUGAGAGCAGUUGGAAGGACAGAACGUAAGGGAGCAUUUGCUUGGUGUCAAGUGCUCUCUCAAAGGUAACAAAUGUGUCCCAAACAAAACUGAUCUCACUCACAAGAAAGACUGCUUUAGUCAACAUUCCCCCACACUUCACCCUCUCCACUGUUUACAACCACGACCUAUCACAGCCAGCCAAGAAAAUGUUGUAUUGACUCACUGUUCAAGAAGACAGGGAUUUUUUUUCCCCUUAAGUCUGUCUCUCAGUCAGUUGGCAAGGCUAUUAGGAGGGUAAGGUUAGGUAAUACUGUUUCUUGGACAACCCCAGAGGGGUUGUCAUGGCUUUGAAUGUGAAAGGCCUUUUGUGAGUUUAUGUUUUCAAAAGUUGGUCCCUAGAUGACAACUUUGGUAGGUGGGGCUCACCUGGAGGAGGUAGGUCUCUGGCAACACUUGGGCUCACAGUAUCUGCCUUUGCUCUCUGAUUCCCAUCCUGCAUGAGGUCCAGGUCCUCAGCCAUACACUCACAACCCCAGGCUCUUGAGGUUGGCUGAACCAUUGGAAACAGCAUAAUGCGACCAUCUUCUGCCAAGCUAUACGGAAGUACAGACCUACUGGCAUAAAGAGAAGGAAGCUGAUCUUCGUGCAGAGCCCGGGGCAAAGUGGACCAGCCUCUCUCUAUUGAAUUACUCACUUCUCAGCAUUAGGCACUACAGGAGAAUCCUAGUUAUGUACCUACUUAACAGAGGGCUGACGGAGGAGCACGAAUUGAAGGCCAGACUAGUCUAUGCGGGUAGUUCCAGAUCCAUCUGAAUGACGUGGUGAGACCUUGCCUUAAAACAUACACUCUGUCUCCUUUUAAUGCUCACAGACUCACAAACACCAAACCCCAGUUGACUCCUUAGUUGGUUGUGUCCGGC
Non-coding RNA from Rattus norvegicus (Norway rat), 3676 nucleotides. Lineage: Eukaryota; Metazoa; Chordata; Mammalia; Rodentia; Muridae. The record is from RefSeq and is a predicted model, not a curated record.